GACCAAAUAGCUCAGUGGUUAGAGCACCCAAUCAAAACCUGGGAGGUCCAGGGUUCAAUCCCCCUGUCUGGUCA
This is a transfer RNA of Pisolithus tinctorius Marx 270, 74 nucleotides long. It matches the Rfam family "tRNA". From Rfam's summary of the family: Transfer RNA (tRNA) molecules are approximately 80 nucleotides in length. Their secondary structure includes four short double-helical elements and three loops (D, anti-codon, and T loops). The record is from Rfam. NCBI's taxonomy places the organism in Eukaryota, Fungi, Basidiomycota, Agaricomycetes, Boletales, Pisolithaceae.